This 306-nucleotide ribosomal RNA is filed under the name Starmera sp. RNAcentral describes it as "partial small subunit ribosomal RNA". It matches the Rfam family "Eukaryotic small subunit ribosomal RNA", at positions 1528 to 1831 of the family's 1831-position model. Lineage: Eukaryota; Fungi; Ascomycota; Saccharomycetes; Phaffomycetales; Phaffomycetaceae. The record is from RNAcentral.
CUUAGCCGAGAGGUUUGGGUAAUCUUGUGAAACUCCGUCGUGCUGGGGAUAGAGCAUUGCAAUUAUUGCUCUUCAACGAGGAAUUCCUAGUAAGCGCAAGUCAUCAGCUUGCGUUGAUUACGUCCCUGCCCUUUGUACACACCGCCCGUCACUACUACCGAUUGAAUGGCUUAGUGAGGCCUCGGGAUUGGCUUAAGAAUGGAGGCAACUCCUCUCUGGAGCUGAGAACUUGGUCAAACUUGGUCAUUUAGAGGAAGUACAAGUCGUAACAAGGUUUCCGUAGGUGAACCUGCGGAAGGAUCAUUA